GACGAACGCUGGCGGCGUGCUUAACACAUGCAAGUCGAACGAUGAACCCGGAGCUUGCUCCGGUGGAUUAGUGGCGAACGGGUGAGUAACACGUGAGUAACCUGCCCUUGACUCUGGGAUAACUGCGGGAAACUGCAGCUAAUACCGGAUACGACCCUCGGCGGCAUCGCCAGGGGGUGGAAAGAAUUUCGGUCAAGGAUGGACUCGCGGCCUAUCAGCUAGUUGGUGAGGUAACGGCUCACCAAGGCGACGACGGGUAGCCGGCCUGAGAGGGUGACCGGCCACACUGGGACUGAGACACGGCCCAGACUCCUACGGGAGGCAGCAGUGGGGAAUAUUGCACAAUGGGGGAAACCCUGAUGGAGCGAUGCCGCGCGCAGGAAGACGCUUUUCGGAGUGUAAACUGCUUUUAAUAGGGAAGAUUAUGACGGUACCUAUAGAAUAAGGACCGGCUAACUACGUGCCAGCCGCCGCCGUAA
RNAcentral lists this ribosomal RNA (479 nucleotides) under uncultured bacterium. RNAcentral describes it as "partial 16S ribosomal RNA". It matches the Rfam family "Bacterial small subunit ribosomal RNA", at positions 28 to 523 of the family's 1533-position model. The record is from RNAcentral.